GGCUAGUCAGAGUGCAGUGGUGUUUAUAACUAACUGAUCACUACCAGCAGCAGAUUCCUCUGUUUCUUCUCCAUUCCCACUGCUUCAUCUGACUAGCACCCUAAA
Otolemur garnettii (small-eared galago) is the source of this 105-nucleotide unclassified non-coding RNA. It matches the Rfam family "Y RNA". Rfam says of the family: Y RNAs are components of the Ro ribonucleoprotein particle (Ro RNP), in association with Ro60 and La proteins. The Y RNAs and Ro60 and La proteins are well conserved, but the function of the Ro RNP is not known. Lineage: Eukaryota; Metazoa; Chordata; Mammalia; Primates; Galagidae. The record is from Ensembl.